RNAcentral lists this small nuclear RNA (19 nucleotides) under Arabidopsis thaliana (thale cress). Its description in RNAcentral is "snRNA_14134". The record is from RNAcentral. Lineage: Eukaryota; Viridiplantae; Streptophyta; Magnoliopsida; Brassicales; Brassicaceae.
UUAAACCAAUUUAACAGAG